AUCUUGAAGACAUCUUUUAGGCUAGGAGUAAUAAUAAAGUUGGUGUAGGCAUAAUUCAAUUCAACUCUCGACUAUAGCCAACUAAUUAUUUGAUCUCUCUUAGCUUUACCUACACAAAAUUCAAUGUGUCCUGGUUCACCCUAAAAAGCAAAGUAGAAAAGAAAAUCAAGACACGAUCAUCUCAUCAGAAGUGGGAUGGAACCCAGUCCAGACUCCAGCGCAGUUCUUGAAUUUCUGAAAGCUUCAACCGAAUGAAGAAAAACCAGAGUACAGUUCAAAUUUCUACAGUAAGCACGAGGCACAAGAGAAACCUGAGAGAUGACGAAUCCCAUUG
This 334-nucleotide unclassified non-coding RNA is filed under the name Hevea brasiliensis (rubber tree). Lineage: Eukaryota; Viridiplantae; Streptophyta; Magnoliopsida; Malpighiales; Euphorbiaceae. The record is from RNAcentral.